Non-coding RNA from Pimephales promelas (fathead minnow), 555 nucleotides. The record is from RefSeq and is a predicted model, not a curated record. Lineage: Eukaryota; Metazoa; Chordata; Actinopteri; Cypriniformes; Leuciscidae.
GUGAUCGUGUCUCUUCAGAAAAUCUGGACUAAACCACUAGAUUCAUAGGAUUACUUUUACAAUCUCUUUAUGAACUUUUUGAAGCAUCAAAUUGGUAGUUGUAGCUAUCAAUGAAGAGUACAGAACUGGCUCAAAUUUUAUUAAAAAUAUCUUCAUUUUUGUUCCAAAGAUUGUAGAAAGUUUUAAGGGUUUGGAACGACAUGAGGUAAGCACUGUAACUGCAGCUGAUUCUCACAGCUCUUCCUGAGCAAUUGCCAAAAUUCUCUAUGGAACAAUCAGAAAAUCGGGGACAAUUUCUGGGACGCACAAAACCUCACGAGAGGCCAUCAAAAAGCUAUUUAACAUUUGCCUUUACAACAGAAGAGGGUCAAAGACAUGCUGCAAGACCCUUAAGUGUAAUCUCUGUCCCCAUGGAUUCAUCCUCAUCCCAGAGCCUGCAGAGAGGGACACGCUUCUACAGCCCACUCUUGAUAUGACCACAGUAAUAAAGAGCAGAACUGGGGUGAAUGAGAGACAAAUAGAGAGAUAGAGCUGGAGAAGAUAGAAAAAGUCAGA